UACGAAAGCUUGUUCUAUAAUCCUCGG
This 27-nucleotide non-coding RNA is filed under the name Mus musculus (house mouse). Lineage: Eukaryota; Metazoa; Chordata; Mammalia; Rodentia; Muridae. The record is from RNAcentral.